AGGGUCGCUUAGACCUAGUAAUUCAGGGCCAGCUUGGGCAGCACAGCGAGACCCGUCUCUGAUAAUACGGUGCCACCUUGGUUCACGAACUCGGUUCUCCGUGAUUCUGGUCACGAACUGACCUGGGUGAGGACCCAUUCAAAUUUCCCUACCAGGUCAGCACCACUGAAUUUGAUUGGGUUCUCACCCAACUGUUUCCAGCCAGAAUUGUGGAAAGAAUCAAAUUCCUGAACUGAGGUACCACUAUACUUCCACACAAAGAGCAAGUAAGAAAAGUGGCAUUGUUUCCUUUCCUGCAGAUGUCUAUGUCAACCUUAGAGUGCAGCUGGGGGUUUUAUCUGCUUCUGCGUUCACUGUGUGACAGUGUCGCAUGUCUGUAGCCCCUAGAAGACACCAUUAAACUACACUGAAGACAGGAUGAAAAAGAAAUGUGUUAACGGGGUAUCACUAAAGAGGGUUUGGGCCUCCCAGACGCCCUGCAUGGGUCUCAGGACCUGCAGGGAUGCGAAGGCCUAAGAGAAGCUCUUGGCAAACUUCAAAAAUACCUAUUCCAGGGCCAGGGAUUUAGCUCAGGGGUGCUGCCACCUGCCUCGCAAGCUCAAGAUCUGGAGUUCCAUCCCUGGUACAAAAAAAAACCCCUGUUCCUCCACCUCCCGCAAAAGCCUGGCCCGCUGUGUCUGGAACAUCCUGGCUGUUGUGACCCUCGGCCGCUCCGGAGAGCCUGUGUGCCCCACCCUGGUCUCCCGCUGUGCCCUGACCUGAUCCACCCUUGACGUAUCCUGCUCUGUAGCGCAUAUGAGACAGCUGUGACAUCUGAGUGGGAAUCAGAAGGAAGCUCACUACACAACUGGGCGACCCGACACCCGCUUCUGUCAGGCGCUUCCUCUCCUAGCUCCCAGCCUUCUGCACGGCAGCCUGGGAGGACAGAGGACAGAGGACGGAGCGAGCCUCUUCCCUUGCCCGGUGCGUGCCUAGGGAGUGACACGCAUCACAGAAAAUAUUGCCAGUUACGUUUACACAGCAGUGUCAGACCCUUCUAUUGAAGCAGAAAUAGUGACAUUCUUAAAAAGUAUAUGGUAAAUCAAUGAACUUUCACAUGCAGAAAAUAGGAUGAUUAUUAGUAUACGUUCAGGAAUCUACAAGAAUCUUCCAUCUACACCUAUCAUGAAGCAUUUUUAUUUGCAGAAUUAUAAUCAGUAUAUGGUUCUCCCUGUAUUUCUCUAAUGGACAUCUCUUAUGAGUGUUUCUGAUACACUGACAGAAAAGCCUCCUUUGUUGCCGGGUGUGGUGGUACACACCUAACCCCAGCACUCAGGAGGCUGAGGCAGGAGAUCACUGAGUUUGAGGCCAGUCUGGGCUACAUAGUUCAGAGCCAGCUGAACGACACAGUGAGGAGUCUCAAUAACAAAAGCCUCCUUUGCAGAUUUUCCCAGUGACCCAGAGACAGUGGAGGUUUGUGCAUAUGUGUGAAAUAACAGCGCGGAGCGGGGUCCCACAGGGAAAGGCCUGUCAUCAGCAAUACCUUCAUCUUCUUCACUGAAAACUUGUUAGUGUGACUAAUGUCUCAGAGGUUCGCUAAAAGGAUAGUCAUCUGGGCCAGGCAUUUAGCUCAGUGGCUCCACUGCCUGCCUCGCAAGCACAAGCCCCUGAGUUUGAUCCCCAGUACCAAUAAAUAAAUAAAUAAAUAAAUAAAAGAGUAGUCAUCUGAUAAAAGCUGUUUACUUC
This is a long non-coding RNA of Heterocephalus glaber (naked mole-rat), 1725 nucleotides long. NCBI's taxonomy places the organism in Eukaryota, Metazoa, Chordata, Mammalia, Rodentia, Bathyergidae. The record is from Ensembl.